Molecule: ribosomal RNA, 254 nt
Filed under: uncultured bacterium
Lineage: Bacteria
Description: partial 16S ribosomal RNA
Rfam family: Bacterial small subunit ribosomal RNA
Source: RNAcentral
UACGUAGGGGGCAAGCGUUGUCCGGAAUUAUUGGGCGUAAAGAGCUCGUAGGCGGUGUGUCGCGUCGACCGUGAAAACCUGCAGCUUAACUGUGGGCGUGCGGUCGAUACGGGCAUCACUGGAGUUCGGCAGGGGAGACUGGAAUUCCUGGUGUAGCGGUGAAAUGCGCAGAUAUCAGGAGGAACACCGGUGGCGAAGGCGGGUCUCUGGGCCGAUACUGACGCUGAGGAGCGAAAGCGUGGGGAGCAAACAGG